UCAAUCAUCAUCAAACUUGGUCAGGAUGCUUAUCUAGUUGAAAGCUCGGAUGAGUUCGAACAUGGGUCAUCUCGGAUGAAAAAAACUAGGUCACAAGAGCUAAAAAUAGAAAAACCUUGUGAACACUCUAGAGGUCACAUUUUUGACCCAAUCAUCAUCAAACUUGGUCAGGAUGUUUGUCUAGGUGAUAGCUUGGAUGAGUUCGAACAUGGGUCAUCUCGGAUGAAAAAGUAGGUCACAGGAGCUAUAAAUAGAAAAACCUUGUGAACACUCUAGUGGUCACAUUUUGAACCAAUCAUCAUCAAACUUGGUCAGAAUGCUUGUCUAGUCAAUUGCUUGGAUGAGUUCGAACAUGGGUCAUCUCUGAUGAAAAACUAGGUCACAGGAGCUAAAAAUAGAAAAACCUUGUGAACACUCUAGUGGUCACAUUUUUGACCCAAUCAUCAUCAAACUUUGUCAGGAUGCUUGUUUAGAUAUUAGCUCGGAUGAGUUCGAAUAUGGGUCAUCUCGGAUGAAAAACUAGGUCACCGGAGCUAUAAAUAGAAAAACCUUGUGAACACUCUAGUGGUCACAUUUUUGCAUCAAUCAUCAUCAAACUUGGUCAGGAUGCUUAUCUAGUUGAUAGCUUGGAUGAGUUCGAACAUGGGUCAUCUCGGAUGAAAAAGUAGGUCACCAGAGCUAAAAAUGAGAAAACCUUGUUAACACUUUAGCGGUCACAUUUUUGCAUCAAUCAUCAUCAAACUUGAUCAAGAUGCUUGUCUAGGUGAUAGCUCGGAUGAGUUCGAACAUGGGUCAUCUCGGAUGAAAAACUAGGUCACAGGAGCUAAAAAUAGAAAAACCUUGUUAACACUCUAGUGGUCACAAUUUUGACUCAAUUGUCAUCAAACUUGGUCAGGAAACUUGUCUAGGUCAUUGCUGGCAAUAAAUCGAACAUGGGACAUUUCGGAUGAAAAACUAGGUCACAGGAGCUAAAAUAGAAAAAAUCUUGUUAACACUCUAGUGGCUACUGUUGUGAUCCAAAUAUUCUGUUAAUUGGUCUGAAAGUUUGUUUUGAUGAUUUCUAAGUCAAGAUCGAACAUGGGUCAUCUUGGAUGAAAAACUAGGUCACACCGCCCAAAUAUGGAAAAACCUUGUUAACAUUCUAGUGGUCACAUUUUCGACUCAAUUAUCAUCAAACUUGGUCAGGAUGUUUGUCUAGGUAAUUGCUUGGAUGAGUUCGAAAUCGCAUGUGAAACUAGGUCACCGGAGCUAAAAAUAGAAAAAUCUUGUUAACACUCUAGUUGCUACUGUUUUGAUCCAAGUAUCCUGGAAAUUGGUCUGAAAGUUUGUUUUGAUGAUUUCUAGGUCAAGUUUGAAUAUGUGUCACCUGGGUAAAAAACUAGGUCGCACUGCUCAAAUAUGGAAAAUCCUUGUUAACACUGUAGUGGUCACAUUUUUGACUCACCUGUCAUGAGACUUGGUCAGAAUGCUUGUCUAGGUAAUUGUUUGGAUGAGUUUGAUAAUUCAGGUGAGCGAUCUAGGGCCAUCAUGGCCCUCUUGUUUAAUAACUCAGACAUGGUGUUUUGAAGGUACUGGAAACUUCUGAUAUUUCUCUGGCAUUGUAAUUCUUUCUUGUUUGUGUGUAGGAAAUGAGAAGUAUUUUUGGGGUUUUGCCCGAAACUAAGCAUUUUGGUAGCUUUGUAUGUGUUUGUGACUCUCCGAUUAUGGAGGUGAAAAAGUUAAAAAUCAAGCCUUGACAGUUGGCGCCAAACAAGUAAGAAAUUUCGGAUAAAUUUUAUGAAAAAUCUAAACAUAUGAGAGACACUUUAUUGGUCAUUUUUGAAAAUGCCAUAGGUUGCACUGCGUGUUAGUGAUAUUUUUAAAGGAAUCAGACGGUUUCUGGAAUAUGCUGUACCUUCAUGAAGAUUGCCCAUAUUGGUAUAUUUUAGGUGUGAUUUUGGCUGGUUGGGGGGUAAAUAUAAAUUGCUGUCAGUCAUUUUUUCAAGGAGCAAUGCAUGCAAACUAUCAUUUUCUUCAAUGUAUGUCAUAUAUCAUUGAAUAAUGCUGUGCAACUGGUUAUCUGCCUGUGAAACAGAUUUUGAAAUAUUUGGAAUUGUGUUUCUGGUCACACUGAAAUACAAAAUUGUUCAUUUUUAGGUCCCCUGCCCCCUUAUACUAGUGAUUGCACCAUCUCGGCAGUGAAUAAAAACAAUGAUUUUGAUUGGCUAAUAAAAAUAAAACCUUUCUUGAUACUGAUUCUAACAAAAUGUUAUAAGCGUCUGUUACUUAAAGUUAUUUCUCUUAUGAACUACUGUGAAUAGAUUAACAAAUUUCAAAUAUAAACACUUUGAAGGAUAUUCUAAAGUUAUACAGAUUUGAAAGUAAGAAUGAUUAAAAUACCUACUCUUUAUAUCAUGAUAAAUUUAUACAUGAAUUGCUAUAUAUUUUUAAUGCAAAUGGCGAAUUUAUAAAAUGGUAAUCAAGUGAAGUAUAAGGUACAUUUCCGGCACAAUUCUAUUGUUAUUCAAAUAAAAUGUCAGAGAAAGGAUUUACCUAUAUCGCUCAUAUUCACGACCUCUUAAUUAAGAAUUCGGUUCUUUAUAUGCCAGCAACUUCACCGUGUAUUUUAUGAGAAACACGCUUAUCAUUUUAGAUGAAAGUUCCUAUGUCAGGAUGUCAGAAUGAAAUACAUAGACGAAGCUUUUAAGAAAUUUUACUUCUCACCUGUGCAUGGCUUAUUUUUAUGCCCCCGCCAUAUAAUGGCUGGAGCAUAUAGUGUUACCCUGUUCCGUCAAUCUGUCAUUCCGUCAUCAUCAGUUUCCGUUCACUAUCUUAGUAACAGUUGCACACAUUCAACUCAAAUUUCAUAUAUGGAUAUAUCAUGAGAAAAUACAGGUCAAGUUCGAAUUUGGUCAUGGUUCGAUGAUUUUUGGCAGAGUUAUGUCCCUUUCACUUUGAAAAUAAUAUGAAAUUUUCAGUUUCCGUUCAUUAUCUCCUCUAGGUUAUUACAAAUUCAACUCAAAUUUGACAUAUGGAUACGUCAAAGAAAUGGGCAGGUCAAGUUUGCAUUUUGUCAUGGUUCGAUGAUUUUUGGCAGAGUUAUGCCCCUUUAACUUUGAAAAAAGGAAAUUGUCAGUUCCCAUUCAUUAUCUCCCCAACAGUUGUACAUAUUCAACUCAAAUUAAAGAUAUAGAUAUGUCAUAAGCAUGCAUUGGUCAUUUUCGAAUUUGGUCAUGGUUUGAUGAUAGCUGACAGAGUUAUCCCUCUUGAACUUUGGAAAAAAUAUCAGAAAUGUUAAGUUUCUAUUCAUUAUCUCCCCAAUGGUUGUACACAUUCAACUCAAAUUUGAAAGUUAUCUCUCUUGAAUGUUGGAAAAAUUUUGAAUUUUCAGUUUCAGCACUCAUACUUUUGUGGAAAUGUAUGUAGCCAUUAUUUUCGCUACAAAUAUGCAAUAUGCAAUUUACAAAAGGUUAACACUGAAUAGUUGGUUUGUGUUAAUAUAGAAUAGUUUUAAGGGCUUUAACUUGAAAUAAAAAAAAUAAUUUGUGCAAACAAAUUUGGAACUAAAUAUUAGAACAUAUGAAAUUUUGGCUGCAUGCGGGGGCAUCUGUGGCGUGACGCUACAUUUCUAGUUUAAAAUAUAGUUCCUAAACUUUUAAUAUAUGAUCCUAUAAAUUUGAUAAGAAUGGUAUUCCUUUUUCUCUAACUCCUCUACCACUUGCACAUCAAUCUUGCAUUUCCUACACAAAAUGCACAUGCAUAAGAACUCUUACCUUGCUAUGGGAUGACAUUUAUUAUGUUGCUAUUAUAAUAAGAAAAUUACAUGUGACUUAUAAAAUUUCUUCAAUAAACAAAUUGUGGCAGCCAUUUUGGGCGCCAUCUUGGAUUUCUAAGCCAGCACCACACACAAAAAAAUUAUGCCACAAUUUUGUGAUAUAAAAGACAUAAUAAUUAUGCGAUCAUUUUGGUAUAAAACACAAUUUGUUCUACUGUAAUGAAAAUUUCACAUAGAUUCAGCACCAAUUGUGACCAUACUAUAUGGGAUAAAGUUCAUCGUACUGUAAAAAAAUUUCCUUUAUUUUUUUUCUAUUUCAAAGAUUUGGUAAGAAGUUUCCAAGACUUGGUAAGAAGGACAUUGAACUAGACUCAAGUUCAGAAGAGGAAGAGGUCUUCAACAGAUCUAUCAUUGACAAUAACAAUAACAGUUAUGGAAACUCUCCUUCAUCGACACCGAUUUCAACGCCAACAAAAAUGAAAGUAAGGAAGCCGCUUUUACAAUGAUGAAUCAUUGAGAUGUAGUCAAGCUAGAACAAUGUGAUCAAAAUAAUGACAAUGUUCAUCUAAGACUGUGAUAUCAUAACGAAUGUGAUUUAUUGUAUCUUUUUACUUUUACAUUAUUUGCUUCUUCUAUAAUUUGUUCUUCAGAUGCAUUAAUAAAUGUUUACAACCUCAAAA
Ruditapes philippinarum (Manila clam) is the source of this 4434-nucleotide long non-coding RNA. RefSeq lists it as uncharacterized. The transcript is spliced from 2 exons. The record is from RefSeq and is a predicted model, not a curated record. NCBI's taxonomy places the organism in Eukaryota, Metazoa, Mollusca, Bivalvia, Venerida, Veneridae.